AAGAGCAACAGCCCUAGUGGCGGGGCCAGCUCUGGAGCCCUGGAUUCAGCCCCCGCAGGAACUCCAGAGCUCUCCAUCCGCAGGGCCUGGGGGCUCCGGGGCGGG
Canis lupus familiaris (dog) is the source of this 105-nucleotide non-coding RNA. Lineage: Eukaryota; Metazoa; Chordata; Mammalia; Carnivora; Canidae. The record is from Rfam.